This 468-nucleotide ribosomal RNA is filed under the name uncultured bacterium. RNAcentral's name for it is "partial 16S ribosomal RNA". It matches the Rfam family "Bacterial small subunit ribosomal RNA", at positions 28 to 507 of the family's 1533-position model. The record is from RNAcentral.
GACGAACGCUGGCGGCGUGCUUAACACAUGCAAGUCGAACGGAAAGGCCCUGCUUUUGUGUGUUGCUCGAUUGGCGAACGGGUGAGUAACACGUGAGUAACCUGCCCUUGACUUUGUGAUAACUUCAGGAAACUGCGGCUAAUACCGCAUAGGAUCUCCUGCUGCAUGUUGGUGGUUGGAAAGUUUCGGCGGUUGGGGAUGGACUCGCUGCUUAUCAGCUUGUUUGUGUGGUAGUGGCUUACGAAGGCUUUGACGGGUAGCCGGCCUGAGAGGGUGAACGGCGACAUUGGGACUGAGAUACGGACCAGAAUGCUACGGGAGGCAGCAGUGGGGAAUAUUGCACAGUGGGCGGAAGCCUGAUGCAGAAACGCCGCGUGCGGGAUGACGGCCUUCGGGUUGUAAACAGAUUUCGAAUGUGACGAAGCGUGAGUGACGGUAAUGGGUAAAGAAGCACCGGCUAACUACGUG